Molecule: ribosomal RNA, 500 nt
Filed under: Mucilaginibacter ximonensis
Lineage: Bacteria; Pseudomonadati; Bacteroidota; Sphingobacteriia; Sphingobacteriales; Sphingobacteriaceae
Description: bacterial SSU rRNA
Rfam family: Bacterial small subunit ribosomal RNA
Source: RNAcentral
AGUCGGACGGGAUUGGAGAGCUUGCUUUCCUGAGAGUGGCGCACGGGUGCGUAACACGUAUGUAACCUACCUUCGUCAGGGGGAUAGCCUCUCGAAAGAGAGAUUAAGACCGCAUAACAUUGCAAUGUGGCAUCACAAAGCAAUCAAAUAUUUAUAGGACGAAGAUGGGCAUGCGGAACAUUAGCUAGUUGGUAAGGUAACGGCUUACCAAGGCUACGAUGUUUAGGGGAUCUGAGAGGAUGACCCCCCACACUGGUACUGAGACACGGACCAGACUCCUACGGGAGGCAGCAGUAAGGAAUAUUGGUCAAUGGGCGGAAGCCUGAACCAGCCAUGCCGCGUGCAGGAAGACGGCCCUACGGGUUGUAAACUGCUUUUGUACCGGAAUAAACCUUGAUUCGUGAAUCAAGCUGAAUGUACGGUAAGAAUAAGGAUCGGCUAACUCCGUGCCAGCAGCCGCGGUAAUACGGAGGAUCCAAGCGUUAUCCGGAUUUAUUGGG